AUUCAAUUAGCGCUCGGGCUCGAAGGUCGAGGGUUCGAGACCUGCUCCCUGCUGUUUCAUUACAUUACUUUGAAAUGCCAUGUAUCAUUUAAGAGCUACUGCAAGCUCUUUAGUUUAUAUGCUGGAAUAAUUUUCACGGACCAAGCUCCUGUAACGACACAGUUAAAUGUAACUUUGUAACGAGUGCACUGUGUGUUUUGGGAAACUGGUGUGACAUCUUCGGACAUUAUUUUUACGAUGCAUUGUUGAAACACUCGUAAACCUAAAGUACUGACGGAUUUUGUCCAACAAGGCGCCACACCAGGGGUGCGUUUCCCCAAAACAUUAUUCUGCCAAACUAACCCUGAUUCAGAUGACCAUCCUACCCAUGCUUGAUUGCGGAGACGUAAUUUAUGGAUCGGCAGGCCACUGCAUGCUGUGACAUGGGCCUGGAUGGUCACACAUCUUCUUCAAGCUGCCUGACUGAAUACUGUAGCCUUCAGUGGUACCGGAAGCCAGGGCCGUAUCUGGGAGUACAGCAAAAGUCUCAAAUUCAUACAAAUGGCUACAGUCACUGACUUGUAUUCACUUGUCCCAUUCUAAAGUCUUGUCUGGGAUAUACAGUUGAAGUCGGAAGUUUACAUACACCUUACCCAAAUACAUUUAAACUCAGUUUUUCACAAUUCCUGACAUUUUAAUCUGAGUAAAAAUUCCCAGUUUUAGGUCAGUUUGGAUCACAACUUUUAUUUUAAGAAUGUGAAAUGUCAGAAUAAUAGUAGAUAAUGAUUUAUUGCUUGUGCCUCUAGUUCUGACAAUGCAGUAAUAACCAACGAGUAACCUAACAGUCCCACAACAACUACCUUAUACACACAAGUGUAAAGGGAUAAAGAAUAUGUACAUAUAAAUAUAUGAAUGAGGGAUGGUACAGAACGGCAUAGGCAAGAUGCAGUAGAUGGUAUCGAGUACAGUAUAUACAUAUGAGAUGAGUAAUGUAGGGUAUGUAGACAUAAAAGUGGCAUUGUUUAAAGUGGCUAGUGAUACAUUUUUACAUAAAUUUUCCAUUAUUAAAGUGGCUGGAGUUUAGUCGGUAUUUUGGCAGCAGCCAAUCAAUGUUAGUGGCC
Long non-coding RNA from Oncorhynchus tshawytscha (Chinook salmon), 1100 nucleotides. NCBI's taxonomy places the organism in Eukaryota, Metazoa, Chordata, Actinopteri, Salmoniformes, Salmonidae. The record is from Ensembl.